GCAGGCGGCCGCGAAUUCACUAGUGAUUACUCCUACGGGAGGCAGCAGUGGGGAAUAUUGGACAAUGGGGGGAACCCUGAUCCAGCCAUGCCGCGUGUGUGAAGAAGGCCUUAUGGUUGUAAAGCACUUUAAGCGAGGAGGAGGCUACUGAGACUAAUACUCUUGGAUAGUGGACGUUACUCGCAGAAUAAGCACCGGCUAACUCUGUGCCAGCAGCCGCGGUAAUACAGAGGGUGCGAGCGUUAAUCGGAUUUACUGGGCGUAAAGCGUGCGUAGGCGGCUUUUUAAGUCGGAUGUGAAAUCCCCGAGCUUAACUUGGGAAUUGCAUUCGAUACUGGGAAGCUAGAGUAUGGGAGAGGAUGGUAGAAUUCCAGGUGUAGCGGUGAAAUGCGUAGAGAUCUGGAGGAAUACCGAUGGCGAAGGCAGCCAUCUGGCCUAAUACUGACGCUGAGGUACGAAAGCAUGGGGAGCAAACAGGAAUAGAUACCCUGGUAGUCCAUGCCGUAAACGAUGUCUACUAGCCGUUGGGGCCUUUGAGGUUUUAGUGGCGCAGCUAACGCGAUAAGUAGACCGCCUGGGGAGUACGGUCGCAAGACUAAAACUCAAAUGAAUUGACGGGGGCCCCCACAAGCGGUGGAGCAUGUGGA
Molecule: ribosomal RNA, 647 nt
Filed under: uncultured bacterium
Lineage: Bacteria
Description: bacterial SSU rRNA
Rfam family: Bacterial small subunit ribosomal RNA
Source: RNAcentral